AAUUAUGUAUGGGUGGGCACUUGGUAGACAAUGGUAAUUAAUAAAGGUAAUUUGGGUUGGGAUUAAGUGUUACCCAUUUAAUAUGGGGUAGACAAUGGUAUUUAAUAUUGGUAAUUAAGAAGAGGUGUGUAUGUGUAUGGGUGGAUAAAUACGGGGUAACCAAGAAGAGGUGUAUAUGUGUAUGAAGUUCUAUAAACUAAAUAAUUAUUAAUAUUGCUUAAAAUAAAU
RNAcentral lists this long non-coding RNA (228 nucleotides) under Solanum tuberosum (potato). Its description in RNAcentral is "long non-coding RNA (STUB_LNC006396)". The record is from RNAcentral. Lineage: Eukaryota; Viridiplantae; Streptophyta; Magnoliopsida; Solanales; Solanaceae.